AAGAGAUCGGGAUAACACCUGGAAACAGAUGCUAAUACCGGAUAACAACAGAUGAUGCCUAUCCAACUGUUUAAAAGAUGGUUCUGCUAUCACUCUUGGAUGGACCUGCGGUGCAUUAGCUAGUUGGUAGGGUAACGGCCUACCAAGGCGAUGAUGCAUAGCCGAGUUGAGAGACUGAUCGGCCACAUUGGGACUGAUACACGGCCCAAACUCCUACGGGAGGCAGCAGCU
Molecule: ribosomal RNA, 231 nt
Filed under: uncultured Lactobacillus sp.
Lineage: Bacteria; Bacillati; Bacillota; Bacilli; Lactobacillales; Lactobacillaceae
Description: partial 16S ribosomal RNA
Rfam family: Bacterial small subunit ribosomal RNA
Source: RNAcentral